CAAAUGUACAGCAUAAAAGGGGGACAGGAAUUAAGGGGAAGGUACAGCAAAUCAGGAGCAGGAAAAGGAGGUAAUAUCUGAAACAUGGGUGGGUGCUGUGGGGGCGGACAGCCCGUGGUGAUGUCCCCAAGCAACAGGCUGUGACAUCACCGGGUGACGGAUUGUGACAGCAUAGCCCUCACUGCUCAUAGUGGGGUGCUGGCAGGGCCUGGCUCAGUCUGGCUCGUUCCUGGACCCUGCUGAGCAGCUCUGCGAGGCUUGGAGGUCGAGCAAGGUUUUGGCUGUGCUGUACUGGUCGUGCCUGGGGCUGCUUGCUGCAUCUCAGUGCCUGACCCUGCAGUAUUGCUUCUGUUUCCUGGCCCUGCCUUGUGCAGGCAGCCGGGACACUACCGAGUGCACCCGCAGCAGUGGAGAGUGAGACACCACUGCUGUAGCUCCGGCGGUGGAGAACAACUCAUCAUCCUCAGUUCUCCCUGCCCACUGCAGCAAGAAGAUCAUGGCUGCAGAGGCAUGGAAAUGUCCCGUCUGCCGCGAUGUGCGACAGGAUGUUGCCUAUACAACUCCAUGCAAUCACAUGUUCUGCCUUGGCUGCAUCCAGCGGUGGGCAAGGCUGAGGGACAGCUGCCCGCUGUGCAGGACAGCUAUGCAGACCAUCCGGGUCUCUGUGAGGGGAGACAAUCAGUACGUGGAGUGCAUUGUCUCCCC
This 705-nucleotide long non-coding RNA is filed under the name Gallus gallus (chicken). RNAcentral describes it as "long non-coding RNA NONGGAT012000". Lineage: Eukaryota; Metazoa; Chordata; Aves; Galliformes; Phasianidae. The record is from RNAcentral.